AGAUUUUGCCUUCGGGUACAAUUGAGACAGGUGGUGCAUGGUUGUCGUCAGCUCGUGUCGUGAGAUGUUGGGUUAAGUCCCGCAACGAGCGCAACCUUGUGUUUAGUUGCAAACAGGUCAAGCUGUGCACUCUAGACAGACUGCCGUGGACAACACGGAGGAAGGUGGGGAUGACGUCAAAUCAUCAUGCCCCUUAUGAUCUGGGCUACACACGUGCUACAAUGGCCGGUACAACGGGCAGCGAAGGAGCGAUCCGGAGCGAAUCCUAAAAAGCCGGUCCCAGUUCGGAUUGCAGGCUGAAACUCGCCUACAUGAAGCUGGAAUCGCUAGUAAUCGUGGAUCAGCCAAGCCGCGGUGAAUACGUUCCCGGGCCUU
This 375-nucleotide ribosomal RNA is filed under the name uncultured Fusibacter sp. RNAcentral's name for it is "bacterial SSU rRNA". It matches the Rfam family "Bacterial small subunit ribosomal RNA", at positions 1009 to 1382 of the family's 1533-position model. Lineage: Bacteria; Bacillati; Bacillota; Clostridia; Eubacteriales; Fusibacteraceae. The record is from RNAcentral.